UAAAAAUAAUAAACCAAGAAGGGGGCAAAACCCUGUCCCAGGACUGUGAUUCUGCAAAGAAGUGCUCUACUUUUCUCUUCCAUCCAGCAUGAUGUUCGUUUAGCAAAUGAUGGUCUUCAGAGAGUCAGAUAGAUAAUAAGGUGGUGUGCGCUUUAGAGUGGGACCAUUGGGUGAUUGACAAAUGGCGGCGGCCAAAACGCCAAACUUUGGCGUUGGAUUGUAAAAUCUCUGGUUGAGAGCAGCGAACAAAACAGACCCAUGUGAUCAAAUCCUAUGACGCUGAUCAUCAACUUCUACAACACAUUUGUAUUCAAACACUAAGGGAACACGGCUCACACAACAGACACUAGCUGAGCUCACGAGUCACAGCUCAGCUUCAGCACCGCCCGCACCCGCCGACGCCACCGCCGAGACGCCGAGGACGGAGCCGCCGAGGACGGAGACGCUGAGGACGCUGAGGACGGAGACGCCGAGGACGGGGAGCCUCCUGAUCAAGUCUACCGCCACGGCCGAGUGUGUGUCUGUGAGUGUGUCUGUGUGAGUGAGUGUCUGUGUGUGUGUCUGUCUGUGUGAGUGAGUGUCUGUGUGUGUGUCUGUGUGUGAGUGUGUGUAAGUGUGUGUCUGGUGUGUGUGUGUGUGUGUGAGUGUCUGUGUGAGUGUGUGUGUGUGUGGUGUGUGUAGGUGUCUGUGUGUGUCCCGGUGUGUGACACACGUGGAGGUUUCCGGGUCACUUUGCUGAGUGGGUCUCUGGUUCCGUCUCGCCCGUAGUGCCUCGUUUGUCACACACCCACUUUAUUCAUGUUCAUAUCCGUCCCGUGGACGUCAGCGUGCAACGGCCACGUCCUGUGUUUGUGAACUAUGUUCUGGUUCUUCUCUUCAUUAUCAGCUGGUUUUGGGGUCUUGGAUCUGUGAACCAUCAGAACAAGAUCUGAGGAAACGUGGUUUGGGGAACAAAGGCCUGAGGGAAGUGAAUCCUAGAACUAUUAGAACACAGGUCCUUCAGAUCCAGUAACAAUACUGAACUGUGUACAUUCCCAAACAUAUACACAAUAUGUGCCAUCCAAAUGACAAUAGACACAACUCUGGGGCCUUUAAUUGUCUAAAUAAUACAUAACAAACCUUGUUGAAAAGAAAAAAGGAUACAAUUCAGCUUCAAAAUGCAAAAUCAAUGUGAUGAUUAUAUGUGAAAUAUAAUGUAAUGUCAAUCUUCUUGACAUUUUUUUACAUGUGCUGAGAUUAUUUUAUAUGUUGUUUGUUCUCCACAGAAAAAAAAGUGUAUCUAUAUAUAUAUACAUACACCUACAUAUUCGUGAAUGAGUUUUGAGGCGGGGUCACAGUCUCCGGCGUGGGUCAACGCGGUGCCGGCCCGGCGGCUCCUCUCGGCAGCCGCCCUGCUCCUGCACGCUGUCAGCCACACCACAGGUGUUGAUUCAGACCAUUAAUAAUUCACCAAGUUGCUCGCCGUCCUCCGUGUUGGCCAGAUGCCUCUCUGCACUGCGGAGCGCGUCAGCUGCACACUGAACCGGGCAUGUCACACAUGCAGAAAUAAGACAUGAAUAUUUAAAAAAAAUAUACCCCAGAAGCAGCCAGUGGAACCGGCUGCACAUCCGAGGGCACUGCCAUGUUUCAGCAGCCACCCCCCCCCCCCCCUCCUCCUCUGUAAAGGGGGGUGGGUGCCAUCCAGACGGGGAAGCCAGCCGCGUACCCCCCCCCUUCUCCUGAUUGCUGCUCUCUAAUGAGCGUUGCGGACGGUGAAUCUUUUCAGAGCAAAUUGUUGAAGACAUCUGGCCAAGCUUUCUCUCUGAUGCGGCUGAAAUGUCCCUCUAGAUGGGGUUGGCAUGGCAACCUCUAACUGCUAUUCAGCGGCAUUGCGGUUUGAAAGGUUUAGGGUCCAUAGUUGAAAAUCCAUUUGGGCCUCUAGCAGAGCGCUGUGCACUCCUCUCCCCGGGCUGGAGGUGCAAUAAAUAGUCCCUCGCCUCAAGGAAAAAUACAUUCCCUUUAUGAAUUGAUAGCACUCAUGGCACCAACAUGCCUUUGUUGUGUGCCUUUGUCAUAAAGGCCUUAUUGGUGGUAACACAACAGAGUGGUUCGGCAAUGGUAGUCUCUUUAAAGAAAAAUACAAAAUUCUCGCCCUCGUGGAAAAGUUGGGUGGUUUUAGUCACAUUCUUAUAUAAAGGUUCCACGUGAAUUACUAUUUUUUUUUGUCUUGUUAAAAAUCCAAACAUUGAAAAUUGCAAUAAAUUGUACACAGCUCUGCAAUAGCACACCGAGCAUCGCUAAUGGCCCGGCGCCGCGGCGGAAGGAUUAAGUGUGUGUGGGGAGGUGGUGGUGGAGAGGAAGAACGCAGCGUGUGUGUGUGUGUGUGUGUGUGUGUGUGUGUGUGUGGGCGGGGCUUAGGGUCCAUCCCCACUGUUAGCUCCCCACAACAACACUUAAUGACCCCCGUCCUUCAGCUGAGAUGAGACACUCCAUCCACAGAAUUAUCUGAAGGGCGCCGUGUUGGAGGAAAUUAUCACAUCCUCAGAGACAAAAUUGCCGAGGGAACUUAUCAUGACAAUUAGCGUACUUUGGGCCUCUGGCCGCAGUCACGGCAGGCGGAGCCGAAUGAUCCGCCGGGGCGGCGUUCGGGUUCAGCCAAUCAACAUGUGCCGGUCCCUUUUGCGUUGGAUUUUAGUCUUACGGCACUGCACAAGUGCUCAAGAGCAUCGGCACAACAAAUGUGUGCGAGGUCCCUGUGGGAUAAAUCUUAACGCGUCCCGCAGCAAAACGUGGGACAGGACAGCGACGAGGACUCAGAGGUCCCUUUGUCACCCAGAGAAAGAAAGAUGGUUCACUUACAGCUCCACUAAUCACUGAGUCUCGAGCCUGUAAUGAUUAUUUAACGCCGGAUCAAUAUGUAGAGAGAGCUGCCUACUCAUAAAGACAUAUAACGCGUCGCAUUAAGUAAGGAGCCAUCUACUAAGUGCUGCACACGUCUGCUAUAUAUAUAUAUGGUUUGGCAGAAGACGACGCUCAGCUUAAAGCUCACUUGAACUUCUCUAAAGGGCGAGUCCUUGAUAUCAUUUUGUGGUUUCCGCUGUCCUUCCUUAUGUCAUCAAAUCCAAGUCUGCACCCAAGUGCAUGUCAAUGUCCCAAUGCCUCCACAUGUAUGAAGCAAACAGUAAGUAGCGGAACGUUUGAAUGGACUUACAGACACGAGGAAUAAAGAGGACCUGAGGUUCCUUCGUGCUAAAUGUCUGCAGGCAGCGCAGCUUCCACGCGAUGCAUCAUUUUCAGUCUCCGAACCAGGGGUCCCUGCGCCCCCCCGCCUCCCCUCCCCCCCUUAAAUGCAUGACGAUUAAUCUCUCAGUGUUCAACCUUGACGUGAGUUAUUCACAGCUGAAGAGCGACAUCGCUGGCUCCUGUGACCAUCAAUUGCGUUUUCCCUCUGACCUAAUUGCCUCACGUGUCUUCAUAUUCAAUACAAGUUCCCUCUGCUGCCAGACGACACCCAUUGUCUCGCCGCUGUGCACAGACAUGAAGAUUGGUUCAAGAUUCAGCUCAUUAUGAUGUCUGAUGCCUCUGACUUUGUAACACGGCGAAUGGAGCAGCAAACACACACACACACACACACACACACACACCAGGCUGCAGGAAUCAGGGCUUUCACAGCGGCUUCGUCGCUUCCUUCAGUCACCUGCGGCAUGAAAGUAAAUAUCAACUCUUUGAAAGUCUCAGUCGCAGACUCACACAGUCCCCGUCAGCGUCAUCAGGCUGUUGGGAGGUUGUAAGUUCGUCGCCGAGAGGCCGAGCGGGGCGACAAACCUGCACACUCGCUGGCUGUCAAUCAUUCAACCAUCCAACAGCUGACUUUUGCAGUUUUAUUUGUUGGGGAGAAACAAACUAUUGUGUUGUAUGAGACGCUUGCUUAUUGGUGACGACGGGGAGAACAGUCUAAAAAGCGUCAAUGAGACUCUCAUGUCUCAUGUCUCUCACCUUCUGUCCUUCCAUUCACCCAGCAAGCACAGAACAGCACCAAGGGACACAUUUACCACACGUGACCUAAAGGGGUUUACAAAACAAACAGGUUGCCCCCUGCAGGGGUCACCAACAACAUAAAACAACACGACAACAACAUAAAAGUAGUGGUUAUAAAAUAGACCAGUGGAAAUGUGCAGCAAGGAGGCGUUAAUCUGCACAAUCCACUGAUCAGUAUAAUAAUAAUAAUAAGGAAACAUUUCUUCUCAUUGUCUUGAGUUUUUGGCUGCUAUUUUGUUUCGAUCACAAGUCUUAUUCCAGAAUAGUGGAUAGAAAACAUCCAAAACAGACAUUUAGUGGUGUGAAGAGUCAAUAAAGUUACGCUAACAUUAAGCUUCUCGCCCCCGAAGAAGAAUUCAGUGAAAUACAGCGAGCGAAGAUAAAGCAACGCUGAGGGACUCUGGCUCCUUUUCCAUGGAGAAGAAACGGUGUUUCCUGCGGCGCGGCAUCCAGCGAGCGACCACGUGAUGUCAUAUCCCUCCUGAACGCAGUCGGCUUCCACUUACUCACUCACGGUUCUAUUUCAGCCUUGAUUAUUGAGAGAGCUGAGCUACCAGAAAAGCUAUUUGAUUCAUUGAACGCAGGCAAAUACAAUCACAGAGUGAAAUACGGUGCGAGUAGUGUGAUGGACAGUUUUUUAGAAUCUGUCCCGUGCAAUCCAACGUAGCUCCUCCCCGGUGGUCUUUGGGAGCCUCUCACCUGACCCCCGUUCCACAGCACAAUACAUUCAAUUAAUACACCUUUGGCCUACAGCUUCUGAGUAAACAUGACAUAAUGUCAUCAUUAUCAUCUAAUAGCUUUACGCUUUUAUCAUGUUAAGCAUCUCAAACUGAAUAUUAACUCAUUUCAUGUGGUCAGAAAUCGAACGCUUGCCACACACGGCUUCCCUGUGUGCGGCAGGAGAAAAACCUUCAUCGUGAAUAAAGGGGGGUUUUAAGCAUCUUCCCCCCAGACCGAACAUUACAUUGUGAAUGGAUGCCACGCACAGUGUUACAGUGACUUCAUGUCAUCAUCCACCCACCAGCUACCACACACACCUGCCCACUACAGACGGACCUUCACACACUGCAGUCACAGCUGCAGCAGCGGAGUUGGGCUCAAGUGCCUUGCUCAAGAACACAGCGGCAAGCGUCUGGUUAGAGGACGACGAGCUCUCCGCUCAGUGACUACUGCCAGUAACGCAGCAGUCAAAUACACGUACAUCAUGUGAACCCUUCUGACAAACAACGAUGACCGUCCACUGAAGUUAAGAACGCAUCGUAAAACAAGCAAGCACGUAACAGUGAGCCGAUGCUUUCCAUUAAUACCACAGUACCAGCACUAAAUGUUCGUGUUCAUGAAUGAGGACGGAUUUCAAUGGGCCUCGCCGGUGAUUGUAUUAUUAACACAUGUUGUGGCUUCACAGUGUGUGGAAGAUGCAACUGGCGCCAUGAAGCGAUUGACGCCGUAAGCGGUAAUAUUCGUUCUUGUGAUGAGGAACUAUUGGAAACGUGUAGCAUGAGCGAUUUCAAUGUGCUCUCCAUUCUAUCCCUUUUCCCUGCGUUUGCGGGUCAGUUGCUAUAGCAACCCAGGCAGAGGAAGACUAGUGUUUAAUUGAUCCACUAAUGCAUUUAGCUGCACACUCACCACUAAGUUGCCUUUGUUUCCAGGUCACAUUUUAGGAAAAUUUACAUAAUUUACAUAAAAGCAUUUGCUGUUGCCAGAACCAGUCAUUAUCAACAGUUUUUACUUUUUGUCCUUUGGCAACAAAUGUGGUGUAAACACAGAUUAUUAAAAGCUACAAUAUUGCCUCAUCAGGGAAUUAUUAUAAUACUAAUGCUGGUGGUAAACAUAAUACGUUUGGCAGGCCCUGUCUCCAAACAGGCAGUCAUAUUGGGAAUGCUAAUUAAUAGUUGCUUUACAAAGAAAAGCAAUCCCCAGGACCCAGUCACCAUUCGCCCGCUACGUCCAUAUGUCCUUUUUAACACAUCAAGUGCAGGGUAGAAAAACAUUGUAAAAUAAGCCCCAGCAGGGGUGGCUGACAACGUUGUGAGAAAGGGUUGGACUUCACCUCAAAAGAACUGAUGACCCCGAAAGAGGAAUCUGGAUGUUAUUGGUUUAAGCUUCUCACGUGGAUUUCAAAGGCUUUUCUCACUCAGAAUGAGAGGCUCACACUUCAAACACUGAUAAUCUGGAGAGAAUAUCAGUCAAGUCAUGUGUUGGUAAAAAACUAGGGCUAAUUAACGAACUGUUUAAUUGGACAUUUUGAAAUACAUGCGAUUAAUCACAAUUAAAAGUUUUUGUUUUUUUAACACAGUGGUGGUUCUCUGCAGAGUAAAUGGAAGCAGCCUAGCCGCUAGCUUAGCCUAGCAGAUAGCUUAGCCUAGCGGUACGUAAAGCGGUCCGUUUACAACUCACCCCCUUCUGUUUGACAGGUGGAUCCUCUACCCAGUUCUCCGCUGUGUGUCCAGCGUGGAAACCACAAGGUUGGCGGUUCGAGCCCCCGGCAGCCCCGUGUCCCAGGUUGAAGUGUCCCUGAGCAAGACACCUAACCCCUAGUUGCUCCCCGGGCAAAAAAAUGUAAAAGCCAUGGGUUAAAAAUCUGUAAUGUAAUAUAGUCUAACUGACUGCAGUAGGUUCGUUUCCGGGGUCAACUUUGUUUACUUCCGGCAAAGUUGUGUUAACGGCGUUAAAAUAUUUUAUCGCAUUAAUCUGGGCCACAUUAAUCACAUAGGUCAACGGUUAAUGUUGACACCCCUGUGAAAAACAUUAUAGAUGACAGUGGUAUUUCUUACAAAAAUAAAACAGGAAUUGAAAUCAGGAAGAACCCGGAGGUGUGAACAUCAGAAAUGAAAAAGGAAAAGUGAUCUAUACAUAUUGAUUUCCAAUGUUCUUUUUUUCUAGCAAAUACAGCAAAGAAUGUUGAACUGGUUGGAUGCUGGGUGUUGAAUUCUACCAUUUUAAAAUGCACCUACAAAAAUAUGCAUAUUUUAAACAACAAGAAGUAACUCCAAAUCUCAAAGCUCUCCAGGCCGGGUCCUGCUUUAGGACUGAGAAGCUGUCCUGGUUCCCUGUUGAUAAUGUUGCCUGUCUUUCACAUCCCUCGGUCAACCUCGUUUGGAUGUGACUUGUUUGAUCUACGGGUGGUGGAUUCGUACCUGUAUCGGUAGUUUUACCUUGAAAGGUUUGGCAGCGCAUCAGCUGUAGCUGGCUUAGUAGCCUAACCCUUAGUAGUAACCCUAACCCUAACCCUUAGUAGUAACCCUAACCCUGACCCUAACCCUAACCCUAAGACCACGAGACAUUCAAAUGUUUUGAUUGCAGGGAAUUAUUUGGGUCAACCAAAUAACUUGACAGUUUUUACCUAAUAGAGACAAAAAGAAGAGCCCAGUCGACUCCACCUGAAAAUUCAGUACUUUCAUCAAACGAUGACAGGAAAUUGAAAAUAUGAAAUAACUUGCCUAAAUGUAUUUACUUGGUGUCAUCUAGACGUACCCAACAUGGCCCAUGUGCAGAUAUCAAAGUGGUUAUGCAUCAGUUAUAUAUUUGUAUAUGGCUGGUUCACCUAUUAUAAGACAGUAUAGGGUGGUGUGGAAUGGGCAGCAAAAGCAGUGACCACUUUGUGCUGAAAGCACACGGUCACAGUGCUCGAGCACAGGUACAACGUGCCUUCUCUUGAGAACACUGGUCAGUUCAAACCAGAGCCAGCUGCAUGUCAGAGUCCUACUUAUAUCACACGUUUGUCAUAUUUGUUAUUUUUUAGGCCCUUAAAAAUGUGCACUGGGAUGCUUACAAAUUGAUGGAGCCUUUGUUCAUUUAAGAAAAUAUUAAUUUUCAUUAUACCUUUUUUAUUUUUCCUGCUGUACUGAGGACCGUGAGGCCAAAACCAAAGCACACAGAUCUUAUUACUGUUCCAACCUUUUGUUCAACCUUUUUUUUCUGGUAGUACAAUUUUAUUAUGAUUUUUUUCUUUACUAUAACAAAAGGCCAGAAUUUGCCACAGAUUCCUCAGAAGCUGACGGUAAAGCAGUGAGCCACCGGGUGAGGUAACAUGCUGUGGAUGUAUUUGCCCCAUGUCACUCGAAGCCAAAAGACUGUGUGUGCACGGUGUGACCAAAUCUCACCAGCCAUUAUGUGCAAUUUGGAGAAAAUUGACGGCAGCACAGAGACAGGCCUGCGAAAAAGCAGAAAAGUGCAAGGACGAGUAAUUUCCUUCGAAAAAAACGGGACAGCACGUGCGGGUAAGUGCACGGUGCUUUACAAGUCCCUGUUAGAUUCCCGUGUGUACAGUAAGACAUGAGGGGUAAUUAUUAAUUAUCCCAGACAGUAAUGCUGGAAUACAUAAUUAUGUGACAAACAUGACAUCUUCAAUCUUGCCGCUAAGUGAUGAAUGUCACGAGGAGACUGCAAUUAUGUCAUCUCAUUCACGCGGGAGUAUUGUAAUUGCAAAAUUAAAAGCACUUCAGCUAAUUUUGUCUUAUUGCUCGGAGUGUAGUCUUGGAGGUAGAAUUGUAAUCACUGAAGCACACGGGGAAAUGAGAAGGCUGCACAUAUUUUAGAGGGAAAUUAUCAAGCAGAUUGUCACCUAUGGGAGCUGCCGGGGACAAUGUGCUGACAGUAAUAAUUCAGGUGUCGAAUGUAAAUCAACAUGGAGAGAAUUCUGCGAAGGAAUUAAGUAUGCGCCUCACAAGAUAUCACUCGCAAAUGGGUGUAUUAUUAUUUUUCGGCCUGAUCCUGAGAAUCCUGAGCUAUGUGGUUCUUUUCCACAGUGAUCAUAUUUAAAUGUGCAUUAUUAUUUAUCCGUUUUUCUGGAAGCAUUUUUUUUUCUCCAGUUUUUCAGACGUGAAACAAUUUCCUUUGUGUGUCUGCUUUACGACACAGUAAAUGUACAAUUUCCACCCGUUUCCAUUGCACACAUCACCUCUUCUAGAAAUAAACUUUGUUCAUAACACACGUGUAGUUUCUGCUCACUACUUGAAUUGCCCAUUCUAAGGAUCCAUAGAGUCUUUUCACAAUAAAUGUACAGAUGCGGCUCAUAACACAUGUAGUGUGCUUUCAAAAUAAACUGUGUUCACUGGAAAGGUGGAAUUCAUGCUUUUUACAUUUUGUCAUGUUUUUUCAAAAUAAACUUCUGUUGUUUGUUCCCUCAUGGCCUUUGGAUGUGGCCUUUAACCAAAAAGUGAGAUGGAGCAAACAUGGUUGCAUGUCAAUGUAACAGACGUGUUGAGGGCAUGAAGUGGACUCGAUUCUGAUCUUUACAGCUUUUAUUCGGUCUUGUAGAAGACAACAAAACACCGACAUUGUCUCUGUCUGCACAUCAGCUUCCUAGACACGCAAAACAACAACCAUUUCACACGGAGAGUAAACAGAUGUAGCUAAUACAAACGUGUACAUUUACCGUCUAAUACAAACGUGUACAUUUACCGUAUAAUACAAACGUGUACAUUUACCGUCUAAUACAAACGUGUACAUUUACCGUAUAAUACAAACGUGUACUUUUACCGUCUAAUACAAACGUAUACUUUUACUGUCUAAUACAA
Molecule: long non-coding RNA, 9536 nt
Organism: Gasterosteus aculeatus aculeatus (three-spined stickleback)
Lineage: Eukaryota; Metazoa; Chordata; Actinopteri; Perciformes; Gasterosteidae
Source: Ensembl